GAUGAACGCUGGCGGCGUGCCUAAUACAUGCAAGUCGAGCGAACAGACGAGGAGCUUGCUCCUCUGACGUUAGCGGCGGACGGGUGAGUAACACGUGGAUAACCUACCUAUAAGACUGGGAUAACUUCGGGAAACCGGAGCUAAUACCGGAUAAUAUAUUGAACCGCAUGGUUCAAUAGUGAAAGACGGUUUUGCUGUCACUUAUAGAUGGAUCCGCGCCGCAUUAGCUAGUUGGUAAGGUAACGGCUUACCAAGGCAACGAUGCGUAGCCGACCUGAGAGGGUGAUCGGCCAAACGGGAACUGAGACACGGUACAGACACCUACGGGAGGCAGCAGUAGGGAAUCUUCCGAAAUGGGCGAAAGCUUGACGGAGAAAAGACGCGUGAGUGAUGAAGGUCUUCGGAUCGUAAAACUCUGUUAGUAGGGAAGAACAAAUGUGUAAGUAACUAUGCACGUAUUGACGGUAACUAAUCAGAAAGCCACGGCUAACUACGUG
This 497-nucleotide ribosomal RNA is filed under the name uncultured bacterium. Its description in RNAcentral is "partial 16S ribosomal RNA". It matches the Rfam family "Bacterial small subunit ribosomal RNA", at positions 28 to 507 of the family's 1533-position model. The record is from RNAcentral.